Molecule: ribosomal RNA, 484 nt
Filed under: uncultured bacterium
Lineage: Bacteria
Description: partial 16S ribosomal RNA
Rfam family: Bacterial small subunit ribosomal RNA
Source: RNAcentral
GAUGAACGCUGGCGGCGUGCUUAACACAUGCAAGUCGAACGAGAACGGAUUAUAGCUUGCUAUAAUUGUCAGCUAAGUGGCGCACGGGUGAGUAAUGUAUAGGUAAUAUGCCUCUUACUAAGGGAUAACAAAUGGAAACGUUUGCUAAUACCUUAUACUCCUUAUUAACAGAAGUUAAUAAGGGAAAGAUUUAUUGGUAAGAGAUUAGCCUGUAUUGUAUCAGUUAGUUGGUGGGGUAAUGGCUUACCAAGACUAUGACACAUAACUGGUUUGAGAGGAUGAUCAGUCACACUGGAACUGAGACACGGUCCAGACUCCUACGGGAGGCAGCAGUGGGGAAUAUUGCACAAUGGACGAAAGUCUGAUGCAGCAACGCCGCGUGGAGGAUGACACAUUUCGGUGCGUAAACUCCUUUUAUAUGAGAGGAUAAUGACGGUAUUAUAUGAAUAAGCACCGGCUAACUCCGUGCCAGCCGCCGCAGUAA